RNAcentral lists this non-coding RNA (178 nucleotides) under Actinobacteria bacterium HGW-Actinobacteria-1. RNAcentral's name for it is "6S RNA". It matches the Rfam family "6S / SsrS RNA". From Rfam's summary of the family: E. coli 6S RNA was the first non coding RNA to be sequenced, but its function was unknown until recently. The record is from RNAcentral. Lineage: Bacteria; Bacillati; Actinomycetota.
UUGAGGCUUCGCCUUGCGUGGCUUCGGCACUAACGGUCGAACCAACACUUCUUUACCGGGAGCUCUAUCAUUGGUCGACGGAAUGGUAUCCCCGAGAGGGGAAGCACGAAGUCGAUCUGCGGGCACCCACCUGCUGAGGCAGGUUCACCGCGCUGGAGCACGCGAGGCGGGGUUCACU